UAAUACGGAGGAUCCCAGCCGCCGCGGUAAUACGGAGGAUCCCAGCAGCCGCGGUAAUACGGAGGAUGCGAGCGUUAUCCGGAUUUAUUGGGUUUAAAGGGUGCGCAGGCGGAUUUUUAAGUCAGCGGUCAAAUCGUGGGGCUCAACCCCAUCCAGCCGUUGAAACUGGGGAUCUAGAGUGUGCGAGAGGUAUGCGGAAUGCGUGGUGUAGCGGUGAAAUGCAUAGAUAUCACGCAGAACCCCGAUUGCGAAGGCAGCAUACCGGUGCACAACUGACGCUCAGGCACGAAAGCGUGGGUAUCGAACAGGAUUAGAUACCCUGGUAGUCCACGCAGUAAACGAUGAUCACUAGCUGUUUGCGAUACACAGUAAGCGGCACAGCGAAAGCGUUAAGUGAUCCACCUGGGGAGUACGCCGGCAACGGUGAAACUCAAAGGAAUUGACGGGGGCCCGCACAAGCGGAGGAACAUGUGGUUUAAUUCGAUGAUACGCGAGGAACCUUACCCGGGCUCGAACGGCAGCUGAAUAUGCCAGAGAUGGCAUAGUCUUCGGACAGUUGUCGAGGUGCUGCAUGGUUGUCGUCAGCUCGUGCCGUGAGGUGUCGGCUUAAGUGCCAUAACGAAGCGCAACCCUUGCCGUCAGUUGCCAUCAAGGCGCAACCCUUGCCGUCAGUUGCCAUCAAGUAGUGUUGGGGACUCUGGUGGGACUGCCAGCGUAAGCUGCGAGGAAGGCGGGGAUGACGUCAAAUCAGCACGGCCCUUACAUCCGGGGCGACACACGUGUUACAAUGGCGUGGACAAAGGGAAGCCACCUGGCGACAGGGAGCGAAUCCCCAAACCACGUCUCAGUUCGGACCGGAGUCUGCAACCCGACUCCGUGAAGCUGGAUUCGCUAGUAAUCGCGCAUCAGCCAUGGCGCGGUGAAUACGUUCCCGGGCCUUGCACACACCGCCCGU
RNAcentral lists this ribosomal RNA (955 nucleotides) under uncultured bacterium. RNAcentral describes it as "bacterial SSU rRNA". It matches the Rfam family "Bacterial small subunit ribosomal RNA", at positions 473 to 1397 of the family's 1533-position model. The record is from RNAcentral.